RNAcentral lists this ribosomal RNA (433 nucleotides) under uncultured bacterium. RNAcentral's name for it is "partial 16S ribosomal RNA". It matches the Rfam family "Bacterial small subunit ribosomal RNA", at positions 29 to 507 of the family's 1533-position model. The record is from RNAcentral.
AACGAACGCUGGCGGCAUGCCUAACACAUGCAAGUCGAACGAGACCUUCGGGUCUAGUGGCGCACGGGUGCGUAACGCGUGGGAACCUGCCCUUAGGUUCGGAAUAACUCCCCGAAAGGGGUGCUAAUACCGGAUAAUGUCUUCGGACCAAAGAUUUAUCGCCUUUGUAUGGGCCCGCGUUGGAUUAGCUAGUUGGUAGGGUAAAAGCCUACCAAGGCGACGAUCCAUAGCUGGUCUGAGAGGAUGAUCAGCCACACUGGGACUGAGACACGGCCCAGACUCCUACGGGAGGCAGCAGUGGGGAAUAUUGGACAAUGGGCGAAAGCCUGAUCCAGCAAUGCCGCGUGAGUGAUGAAGGCCUUAGGGUUGUAAAGCUCUUUUAACCGGGAUGAUAAUGACAGUACCGGGAGAAUAAGCGCCGGCUAACUCCGUG